This 162-nucleotide ribosomal RNA is filed under the name Triticum aestivum (bread wheat). RNAcentral describes it as "partial small subunit ribosomal RNA". The record is from RNAcentral. Lineage: Eukaryota; Viridiplantae; Streptophyta; Magnoliopsida; Poales; Poaceae.
AUGACUAGUAUAGGGAUUACUAAGGGGACUAAAGAAACAAGAACAACAAAAACUAAUACAUCCGCCAAUAUAUUCCUGCUAAGCGAUAAUGGUUUUGUGAAAUCUUCUAGGAUGUUAAUUGGUAAAAGGAUUGGAGUUGGUUUAAUAUAUUUCUUGAAAUAG